RNAcentral lists this ribosomal RNA (580 nucleotides) under Enterobacteriaceae bacterium. RNAcentral's name for it is "bacterial SSU rRNA". It matches the Rfam family "Bacterial small subunit ribosomal RNA", at positions 97 to 677 of the family's 1533-position model. The record is from RNAcentral. Lineage: Bacteria; Pseudomonadati; Pseudomonadota; Gammaproteobacteria; Enterobacterales; Enterobacteriaceae.
UACGAUGCGGUGUGUGGGGAUCUGCCCUAUAGAGGGGGAUAACCUCUGGAAACUGUGGCUAAUACCGCAUAACCUCGCAAGACCAAAGAGGGGGACCUUUAGGCCUCUNCACUAUCGGAUGAACCCAGAUGGGAUUAGCUAGUAGGCGGNGGUAACGGCCCACCUAGGCGACGAUCCCUAGCUGGUCUGAGAGGAUGACCAGCCACACUGGAACUGAGACACGGUCCAGACUCCUACGGGAGGCAGCAGUGGGGAAUAUUGCACAAUGGGCGCAAGCCUGAUGCACCCGUGCCGCGUGUAUGAAAAAGGCCUUCGGGUUGUAAAGUACUUUCAGCGGGGAGGAAGGCGAUGUGGUUAAUAACCGCAUUGAUUGACGUUACCCGCAAAAAANAGCACCGGCUAACUCCGUGCCAGCAGCCGCGGUAAUACAGAGGGUGCAAGCGUUAAUCGGAAUUACUGGGCGUAAAGCGCACGCACGCGGUCUGUUAACUCAUAUGUGAUAUCCCCGGGCUUAACCUGGGAACUGCAUUUGACACUGGCGCGCUUGAGUCUCGUAGAGGGGGGUAGAAUUCCGUGUGUA